RNAcentral lists this ribosomal RNA (1417 nucleotides) under Escherichia coli. RNAcentral's name for it is "partial 23S ribosomal RNA". It matches the Rfam family "Bacterial large subunit ribosomal RNA", at positions 165 to 1629 of the family's 2925-position model. Lineage: Bacteria; Pseudomonadati; Pseudomonadota; Gammaproteobacteria; Enterobacterales; Enterobacteriaceae. The record is from RNAcentral.
CAUAGGUUAAUGAGGCGAACCGGGGGAACUGAAACAUCUAAGUACCCCGAGGAAAAGAAAUCAACCGAGAUUCCCCCAGUAGCGGCGAGCGAACGGGGAGGAGCCCAGAGCCUGAAUCAGUGUGUGUGUUAGUGGAAGCGUCUGGAAAGGCGCGCGAUACAGGGUGACAGCCCCGUACACAAAAAUGCACAUACUGUGAGCUCGAUGAGUAGGGCGGGACACGUGGUAUCCUGUCUGAAUAUGGGGGGACCAUCCUCCAAGGCUAAAUACUCCUGACUGACCGAUAGUGAACCAGUACCGUGAGGGAAAGGCGAAAAGAACCCCGGCGAGGGGAGUGAAAAAGAACCUGAAACCGUGUACGUACAAGCAGUGGGAGCCUCUUAAUGGGGUGACUGCGUACCUUUUGUAUAAUGGGUCAGCGACUUAUAUUCUGUAGCAAGGUUAACCGAAUAGGGGAGCCGAAGGGAAACCGAGUCUUAACUGGGCGUUAAGUUGCAGGGUAUAGACCCGAAACCCGGUGAUCUAGCCAUGGGCAGGUUGAAGGUUGGGUAACACUAACUGGAGGACCGAACCGACUAAUGUUGAAAAAUUAGCGGAUGACUUGUGGCUGGGGGUGAAAGGCCAAUCAAACCGGGAGAUAGCUGGUUCUCCCCGAAAGCUAUUUAGGUAGCGCCUCGUGAAUUCAUCUCCGGGGGUAGAGCACUGUUUCGGCAAGGGGGUCAUCCCGACUUACCAACCCGAUGCAAACUGCGAAUACCGGAGAAUGUUAUCACGGGAGACACACGGCGGGUGCUAACGUCCGUCGUGAAGAGGGAAACAACCCAGACCGCCAGCUAAGGUCCCAAAGUCAUGGUUAAGUGGGAAACGAUGUGGGAAGGCCCAGACAGCCAGGAUGUUGGCUUAGAAGCAGCCAUCAUUUAAAGAAAGCGUAAUAGCUCACUGGUCGAGUCGGCCUGCGCGGAAGAUGUAACGGGGCUAAACCAUGCACCGAAGCUGCGGCAGCGACACUAUGUGUUGUUGGGUAGGGGAGCGUUCUGUAAGCCUGUGAAGGUGUACUGUGAGGUAUGCUGGAGGUAUCAGAAGUGCGAAUGCUGACAUAAGUAACGAUAAAGCGGGUGAAAAGCCCGCUCGCCGGAAGACCAAGGGUUCCUGUCCAACGUUAAUCGGGGCAGGGUGAGUCGACCCCUAAGGCGAGGCCGAAAGGCGUAGUCGAUGGGAAACAGGUUAAUAUUCCUGUACUUGGUGUUACUGCGAAGGGGGGACGGAGAAGGCUAUGUUGGCCGGGCGACGGUUGUCCCGGUUUAAGCGUGUAGGCUGGUUUUCCAGGCAAAUCCGGAAAAUCAAGGCUGAGGCGUGAUGACGAGGCACUACGGUGCUGAAGCGACAAAUGCCCUGCUUCCAGGAAAAGCCUCUAAGC